AGAUUAAGUUAUUAAGGGCGCACGGUGGAUGCCUUGGCACUAGAAGCCGAUGAAGGACGUUACUAACGACGAUAUGCUUUGGGGAGCUGUAAGUAAGCUUUGAUCCAGAGAUUUCCGAAUGGGGAAACCCAGCAUGAGUUAUGUCAUGUUAUCGAUAUGUGAAUACAUAGCAUAUCAGAAGGCACACCCGGAGAACUGAAACAUCUUAGUACCCGGAGGAAGAGAAAGAAAAUUCGAUUCCCUUAGUAGCGGCGAGCGAAACGGGAAGAGCCCAAACCAACAAGCUUGCUUGUUGGGGUUGUAGGACACUCUAUACGGAGUUACAAAGGACGACAUUAGACGAAUCAUCUGGAAAGAUGAAUCAAAGAAGGUAAUAAUCCUGUAGUCGAAAAUGUUGUCUCUCUUGAGUGGAUCCUGAGUACGACGGAGCACGUGAAAUUCCGUCGGAAUCUGGGAGGACCAUCUCCUAAGGCUAAAUACUCUCUAGUGACCGAUAGUGAACCAGUACCGUGAGGGAAAGGUGAAAAGCACCCCGGAAGGGGAGUGAAAUAGAACCUGAAACCGUGUGCUUACAAGUAGUCAGAGCCCGUUAAUGGGUGAUGGCGUGCCUUUUGUAGAAUGAACCGGCGAGUUACGAUUUGAUGCAAGGUUAAGCAGUAAAUGUGGAGCCGUAGCGAAAGCGAGUCUGAAUAGGGCGUUUAGUAUUUGGUCGUAGACCCGAAACUAGGUGAUCUACCCUUGGUCAGGUUGAAGUUCAGGUAACACUGAAUGGAGGACCGAACCGACUUACGUUGAAAAGUGAGCGGAUGAACUGAGGGUAGCGGAGAAAUUCCAAUCGAACCUGGAGAUAGCUGGUUCUCUCCGAAAUAGCUUUAGGGCUAGCCUCAAGUGAUGAUUAUUGGAGGUAGAGCACUGUUUGGACGAGGGGCCCCUCUCGGGUUACCGAAUUCAGACAAACUCCGAAUGCCAAUUAAUUUAACUUGGGAGUCAGAACAUGGGUGAUAAGGUCCGUGUUCGAAAGGGAAACAGCCCAGACCACCAGCUAAGGUCCCAAAAUAUAUGUUAAGUGGAAAAGGAUGUGGCGUUGCCCAGACAACUAGGAUGUUGGCUUAGAAGCAGCCAUCAUUUAAAGAGUGCGUAAUAGCUCACUAGUCGAGUGACACUGCGCCGAAAAUGUACCGGGGCUAAACAUAUUACCGAAGCUGUGGAUUGUCCUUUGGACAAUGGUAGGAGAGCGUUCUAAGGGCGUUGAAGCAUGAUCGUAAGGACAUGUGGAGCGCUUAGAAGUGAGAAUGCCGGUGUGAGUAGCGAAAGACGGGUGAGAAUCCCGUCCACCGAUUGACUAAGGUUUCCAGAGGAAGGCUCGUCCGCUCUGGGUUAGUCGGGUCCUAAGCUGAGGCCGACAGGCGUAGGCGAUGGAUAACAGGUUGAUAUUCCUGUACCACCUAUAAUCGUUUUAAUCGAUGGGGGGACGCAGUAGGAUAGGCGAAGCGUGCGAUUGGAUUGCACGUCUAAGCAGUAAGGCUGAGUAUUAGGCAAAUCCGGUACUCAUUAAGGCUGAGCUGUGAUGGGGAGAAGACAUUGUGUCUUCGAGUCGUUGAUUUCACACUGCCGAGAAAAGCCUCUAGAUAGAAAAUAGGUGCCCGUACCGCAAACCGACACAGGUAGUCAAGAUGAGAAUUCUAAGGUGAGCGAGCGAACUCUCGUUAAGGAACUCGGCAAAAUGACCCCGUAACUUCGGGAGAAGGGGUGCUCUUUAGGGUUAACGCCCAGAAGAGCCGCAGUGAAUAGGCCCAAGCGACUGUUUAUCAAAAACACAGGUCUCUGCUAAACCGUAAGGUGAUGUAUAGGGGCUGACGCCUGCCCGGUGCUGGAAGGUUAAGAGGAGUGGUUAGCUUCUGCGAAGCUACGAAUCGAAGCCCCAGUAAACGGCGGCCGUAACUAUAACGGUCCUAAGGUAGCGAAAUUCCUUGUCGGGUAAGUUCCGACCCGCACGAAAGGCGUAACGAUUUGGGCACUGUCUCAACGAGAGACUCGGUGAAAUCAUAGUACCUGUGAAGAUGCAGGUUACCCGCGACAGGACGGAAAGACCCCGUGGAGCUUUACUGUAGCCUGAUAUUGAAAUUCGGCACAGCUUGUACAGGAUAGGUAGGAGCCUUUGAAACGUGAGCGCUAGCUUACGUGGAGGCGCUGGUGGGAUACUACCCUAGCUGUGUUGGCUUUCUAACCCGCACCACUUAUCGUGGUGGGAGACAGUGUCAGGCGGGCAGUUUGACUGGGGCGGUCGCCUCCUAAAAGGUAACGGAGGCGCUCAAAGGUUCCCUCAGAAUGGUUGGAAAUCAUUCAUAGAGUGUAAAGGCAUAAGGGAGCUUGACUGCGAGACCUACAAGUCGAGCAGGGUCGAAAGACGGACUUAGUGAUCCGGUGGUUCCGCAUGGAAGGGCCAUCGCUCAACGGAUAAAAGCUACCCCGGGGAUAACAGGCUUAUCUCCCCCAAGAGUUCACAUCGACGGGGAGGUUUGGCACCUCGAUGUCGGCUCAUCGCAUCCUGGGGCUGUAGUCGGUCCCAAGGGUUGGGCUGUUCGCCCAUUAAAGCGGUACGCGAGCUGGGUUCAGAACGUCGUGAGACAGUUCGGUCCCUAUCCGUCGUGGGCGUAGGAAAUUUGAGAGGAGCUGUCCUUAGUACGAGAGGACCGGGAUGGACAUACCUCUGGUGUACCAGUUGUCGUGCCAACGGCAUAGCUGGGUAGCUAUGUGUGGACGGGAUAAGUGCUGAAAGCAUCUAAGCAUGAAGCCCCCCUCAAGAUGAGAUUUCCCAACUUCGGUUAUAAGAUCCCUCAAAGAUGAUGAGGUUAAUAGGUUCGAGGUGGAAGCAUGGUGACAUGUGGAGCUGACGAAUACUAAUCGAUCGAAGACUUAAUCAAAUU
RNAcentral lists this ribosomal RNA (2927 nucleotides) under Staphylococcus aureus. RNAcentral describes it as "bacterial LSU rRNA". It matches the Rfam family "Bacterial large subunit ribosomal RNA". The record is from RNAcentral. Lineage: Bacteria; Bacillati; Bacillota; Bacilli; Caryophanales; Staphylococcaceae.